This 440-nucleotide ribosomal RNA is filed under the name uncultured bacterium. RNAcentral's name for it is "partial 16S ribosomal RNA". It matches the Rfam family "Bacterial small subunit ribosomal RNA", at positions 339 to 795 of the family's 1533-position model. The record is from RNAcentral.
CUACGGGUUGCAGCAGUAGGGAAUCUUCCACAAUGGGCGAAAGCCUGAUGGAGCAAUACCGCGUGACCGAUGACGGCCGAAAGGUUGUAAAGGUCUUUUCUGAGGGAAUAAUUUUGAAGGUACCUUAGGAAUAAGCACCGGCUAACUCCGUGCCAGCAGCCGCGGUAAUACGGAGGGUGCAAGCGUUACCCGGAAUCAUUGGGCGUAAAGCGUCCGCAGGCGGUUAAUUAAGUUGGUUAUUAAAUCUUAUAGCCCAACUAUAAGGCUGUAACUAAAACUGGUUAACUAGAGUCAUUCAAAAGUGUGCGGAAUUCUGUGUGUAGGGGUAAAAUCCGUAGAUACACAGAGGAACACCAAAAGCGAAGGCAGCACGCUGGGAAUGUACUGACGCUCAUGGACGAAAGCGUAGGUAGCGAACGGGAUUAGAUACCCGUGUAGUC